AGCCCCGCCCCGUCUGGUCCCGCCCCCACGGCCCCUCCCCCUCCCCACAGGCGAGGCGCCACCCGCCCUCCCUCACCUCGGAGAACAGCGCGGCUAGGUGCUCCAGGGGCGCGGCGGGCAGGUCCCCGCAGAGCACUGCCCCGCGGAGGCUGGUGGGCUCUGGAGGCUCGGGCCUCCUGCGCAGGAAAAAAAGCCCCUUUGCGCGAGCUGGGCCGGACUCAGGUCCCGGGUCCAUCCCCUGUCGCAUCGCCAGGCCUCCGGGGCCGGGCCGCACUACCAGCAAGGGCCUGGGCCCCUCUGCAGCACCUCGGCCCAGGAAGGCCUGGAGCAGAUGCUCAGCCUCGGGUGUCCCCGUGCAGCGCUCCCAAGCACCCGCCGCCGGCCGCAGGCUCUGAGCCACGUAGGCCCCCAGGAGACGCAGCAGUCUCGGGUCGGCGCUGGAGUCCUCGUCCGCGUUCUCCGCAGCGAGCAGGGCCAGAUCCUCCGCGCACGGCAUCGUGCGCGGCCUCCGGCUGCAUUGGUUUCCCUAGCGACGGGGACGCGGCCAGGACUUCCCUCCUCUGCUUUCUUCCUAUUGGGCCAAGGACUCUUGACCCCGCCCCUUCCAGGCAAAUAAGCUGUAUCUCGAAAGGGAAGUCUGUCACACUGCAGGCACCAUGGAGCCCAGGCCAAGGCAGCCGGAGGUGCACUCCUGCCAUACUCUCAAGCAGAUGUGAGACAUCAAGAACGCCCUGCCCAGAGGAAAAUGUUGCAUGGAAAUAUUUUAUCAUAAAAUCUGAGAAAAUGAGAGCCAGAGGAAUCCCACAAUAUGCCUGGUAUAUGGGAGAGAGCAAAACUUUAUUAAAAGACUGAAAACAUUUAGAUGAGGACGCACACUAUGGUGAAAAGUUCUAGGAGACUUGAAACAGGUAAGCAAGGGAUUUAUCUUUGCCAGCAAUAAUCUGAAGCCUUUCAGUAGUUUAUUUAACAGUUAUGGUUCUCAAGUCUGUCUCUGAUAACCCUACCUGUAUAAGAAGAAAUCCUAGGAAAGGCUGGAGAUAGAAUCUUGCCUCCUCCUACUACAGAAGGUAAAGAGAGUUGGAAAUAUUUCCUUUCUGGAGAUCCUGGCAGCCAGAAUGCAGGCAGAUAAUCUAAUCUUAG
Molecule: long non-coding RNA, 1140 nt
Filed under: Chinchilla lanigera (long-tailed chinchilla)
Lineage: Eukaryota; Metazoa; Chordata; Mammalia; Rodentia; Chinchillidae
Description: lncRNA (ENSCLAG00000023470.1)
Source: RNAcentral